GAAAACAUGAAGCUCUUUUUUAAUUUGAAGAGGAUGAGAUUGUUUUACACUGAAGAGGAUAUUAUUUUCAUUUGUAUUUUCACCUCCAUGAGCCUUCCAUUUAUGCCAAAAUGUAAGUGCCUUUCCACACAGUGUGAGAAUAGGAAUGCCUGCAGGAUCGCGCAAAAUUCUUUUCAUCUUCAAAUUCCAGACUCCACCAUCUACUUGGAGGAGAAGAUUUCCAGUCUGAUCAAAAACUUCAAAUUGUGCA
RNAcentral lists this unclassified non-coding RNA (250 nucleotides) under Hevea brasiliensis (rubber tree). The record is from RNAcentral. Lineage: Eukaryota; Viridiplantae; Streptophyta; Magnoliopsida; Malpighiales; Euphorbiaceae.